CGGACGGGUGAGUAAUGUAUGGGGAUCUGCCUGAUGGCGGGGGAUAACUACUGGAAACGGUAGCUAAUACCGCAUAACGUCGCAAGACCAAAGAGGGGGACCUUCGGGCCUCUUGCCAUCGGAUGUGCCCAGAUGGGAUUAGCUUGUAGGUAAGGUAACGGCUUACCUAGGCGACGAUCCCUAGCUGGUCUGAGAGGAUGAUCAGCCACACUGGGACUGAGACACGGCCCAG
Molecule: ribosomal RNA, 232 nt
Filed under: uncultured bacterium
Lineage: Bacteria
Description: partial 16S ribosomal RNA
Rfam family: Bacterial small subunit ribosomal RNA
Source: RNAcentral